Molecule: ribosomal RNA, 496 nt
Filed under: uncultured bacterium
Lineage: Bacteria
Description: partial 16S ribosomal RNA
Rfam family: Bacterial small subunit ribosomal RNA
Source: RNAcentral
AUGCACGCUGGCGGCGUGCCUCAUCCCUGCAAGUCGCGCGCACGGACGAGAAGCUUGCUUCUCUGAUGUUAUCGGCGGACGGGUGAGUAACACGUGGAUAACCUACCUAUAAGACUGGGAUAACUUCGGGAAACCGGAGCUAAUACCGGAUAAUAUUUUGAACCGCAUGGUUCAAAAGUGAAAGACGGUCUUGCUGUCACUUAUAGAUGGAUCCGCGCUGCAUUAGCUAGUUGGUAAGGUAACGGCUUACCAAGGCAACGAUGCAUAGCCGACCUGAGAGGGUGCACGGCCACACGGGCACUGAACCCGGGUCAAACCUCCGACGGGGGGAAGCAGUAGGGAAUCUUCCGAAAGGGGGGAAAGCCUGACGGAGCAACGCGGCGGGAGGGAUGAAGGUCUUCGGAGCGUAGAACUCUUUUAUGAGGGAAGAAAAUAUGUGAAAGAAACUGUGCACAUCUUGAGGGUACCUAAUCAAAAAGCCCCGGCUAACUACGUG